GUGGGGAAUAUUGGGCAAUGGGCGAAAGCCUGACCCAGCAACGCCACGUGAAGGAAGAAGGUCUUCGGAUCGUAAACUUCUAUCCUUGGUGAAGAUAAUGACGGUAGCCGAGAAGGAAGCCCCGGCUAACUACGUGCCAGCAGCCGCGGUAAUACGUAGGGGGCAAGCGUUGUCCGGAAUGAUUGGGCGUAAAGGGCGCGUAGGCGGCCUGGUAAGUCUGGAGUGAAAGUCCUGCUUUUAAGGUGGGAAUUGCUUUGGAUACUGUCGGGCUUGAGUGCAGGAGAGGUAAGUGGAAUUCCCGGUGUAGCGGUGAAAUGCGUAGAGAUCGGGAGGAACACCAGUGGCGAAGGCGACUUACUGGACUGUAACUGACGCUGAGGCGCGAAAGUGUGGGGAGCAAACAGGAUUAGAUACCCUGGUAGUCC
RNAcentral lists this ribosomal RNA (425 nucleotides) under uncultured bacterium. RNAcentral's name for it is "partial 16S ribosomal RNA". It matches the Rfam family "Bacterial small subunit ribosomal RNA", at positions 354 to 796 of the family's 1533-position model. The record is from RNAcentral.